This 333-nucleotide ribosomal RNA is filed under the name uncultured Bacillota bacterium. RNAcentral describes it as "bacterial SSU rRNA". It matches the Rfam family "Bacterial small subunit ribosomal RNA", at positions 28 to 351 of the family's 1533-position model. The record is from RNAcentral. Lineage: Bacteria; Bacillati; Bacillota.
GACGAACGCUGGCGGUAUGCUUAACACAUGCAAGUCGAACGAGAAGACCCGGAAGUGCUUGCACGGAAGGGAAGAAAGUGGCGAACGGGUGAGUAACGCGUGGGUAACCUGCCCUAUGGAAAGGAAUAGCCUUGGGAAACCGGGAGUAAAGCCUUAUAAGAUGGCAAAGCCGCAUGGUUUAGCCAUAAAAACUAUGGUGCCAUAGGAUGGACCCGCGUCCCAUUAGCUAGUUGGUGAGAUAACAGCUCACCAAGGCGACGAUGGGUAGCCGGUCUGAGAGGGCGAACGGCCACACUGGAACUGAGACACGGUCCAGACUCCUACGGGAGGCUG